GACGAACGCUGGCGGCGUGCUUAACACAUGCAAGUCGUACGGUAAGGCCCUUUCGGGGGUACACGAGUGGCGAACGGGUGAGUAACACGUGAGUAACCUGCCCACAACUUUGGGAUAACGCUAGGAAACUGGUGCUAAUACUGGAUAUGUGCUCCUGCUGCAUGGUGGGGGUUGGAAAGCUCCGGCGGUUGUGGAUGGACUCGCGGCCUAUCAGCUUGUUGGUGGGGUAGUGGCCUACCAAGGCGGCGACGGGUAGCCGGCCUGAGAGGGUGACCGGCCACAUUGGGACUGAGAGACGGCCCAGACUCCUACGGGAGGCAGCAGUGGGGAAGAUUGCACAAGGGGCGCAAGCCUGAUGCAGCAACGCCGCGUGCGGGAUGACGGCCUUCGGGUUGUAAACCGCGUUCAGCAGGGACGAAGCUUUUUGUGACGGUACCUGCAGAAGAAGCACCGGCUAACUACGUG
This 465-nucleotide ribosomal RNA is filed under the name uncultured bacterium. RNAcentral's name for it is "partial 16S ribosomal RNA". It matches the Rfam family "Bacterial small subunit ribosomal RNA", at positions 28 to 507 of the family's 1533-position model. The record is from RNAcentral.